This 148-nucleotide non-coding RNA is filed under the name Pseudanabaena biceps. Lineage: Bacteria; Bacillati; Cyanobacteriota; Cyanophyceae; Pseudanabaenales; Pseudanabaenaceae. The record is from RNAcentral.
ACUUUGACUUCAGCUUUCGGUUUUAGUGAGGAGCAGUCACUAAAAGUAAUGGGGAAAGAUUGGUGCAAAUCCAACGCUGUCCCGCAACUGUGAUUUUCUGUUGAUCAGCAGAAAAAGUCAGAACGCCCGCCGAAGCUCAUUUCAAAUC